UACAGAGGGUGCAAGCGUUAAUCGGAAUUACUGGGCGUAAAGCGUGCGUAGGCGGUGAGUUAAGUCUGUCGUGAAAUCCCCGGGCUCAACCUGGGAAUGGCGAUGGAUACUGGCUCGCUAGAGUGUGAUAGAGGAUGGUGGAAUUCCCGGUGUAGCGGUGAAAUGCGUAGAGAUCGGGAGGAACAUCAGUGGCGAAGGCGGCCAUCUGGAUCAACACUGACGCUGAGGCACGAAAGCGUGGGGAGCAAACAGG
Molecule: ribosomal RNA, 253 nt
Filed under: uncultured bacterium
Lineage: Bacteria
Description: partial 16S ribosomal RNA
Rfam family: Bacterial small subunit ribosomal RNA
Source: RNAcentral